CAAAGAAAUAAGCUUUUCCAGAGAUGGAUGUCCAAGGAUGCUAUUGAUUUAUUUUGAUUGAGGAGACGGCAGUGGAAAUACGGUUGCCCAGUGAGAUGAAUAACAUGAAAAUUAGGGAUGACGUACAAGAUAAACAAUACCCACUUAUUAUUGGCUCAAUCUUUGAUCCUGCUGUGGACUUUUCAAAAGGAGUAUUCUUCUUUUCUUAUCAGUUAUAACUU
This is a long non-coding RNA of Rosa chinensis, 221 nucleotides long. RefSeq lists it as uncharacterized. The record is from RefSeq and is a predicted model, not a curated record. The transcript is spliced from 3 exons. Lineage: Eukaryota; Viridiplantae; Streptophyta; Magnoliopsida; Rosales; Rosaceae.